GGGUUGUGAGGUUAAGCGACUAAGCGUACACGGUGGAUGCCCUGGCAGUCAGAGGCGAUGAAGGGCGUGCUAAUCUGCGAUAAGCGCCGGUAAGGUGAUAUGAACCGUUAUAACCGGCGAUACCCGAAUGGGGAAACCCAGUGUGACUCGUCACACUAUCAUUAACUGAAUCCAUAGGUUAAUGAGGCGAACCGGGGGAACUGAAACAUCUAAGUACCCCGAGGAAAAGAAAUCAACCGAGAUUCCCCCAGUAGCGGCGAGCGAACGGGGAGGAGCCCAGAGCCUGAAUCAGCAUGUGUGUUAGUGGAAGCGUCUGGAAAGGCGCGCGAUACAGGGUGACAGCCCCGUACACAAAAGCGCAUGUGUUGUGAGCUCGAUGAGUAGGGCGGGACACGUGGUAUCCUGUCUGAAUAUGGGGGGACCAUCCUCCAAGGCUAAAUACUCCUGACUGACCGAUAGUGAACCAGUACCGUGAGGGAAAGGCGAAAAGAACCCCGGCGAGGGGAGUGAAAAAGAACCUGAAACCGUGUACGUACAAGCAGUGGGAGCCCCACCACUAAGCCAGUGGUGAACUCCACAUACGCAUCCUUUGCUGAGGAUACGGUUAACGGAGCGAAAGCGACGUUCAACCGCAAAAGAAGCAGAGGGGGCUUAGUGGUGG
This 661-nucleotide ribosomal RNA is filed under the name Salmonella enterica subsp. enterica serovar Thompson. RNAcentral describes it as "partial 23S ribosomal RNA". It matches the Rfam family "Bacterial large subunit ribosomal RNA", at positions 1 to 677 of the family's 2925-position model. The record is from RNAcentral. RNAcentral also lists the same sequence under 1 other name. Lineage: Bacteria; Pseudomonadati; Pseudomonadota; Gammaproteobacteria; Enterobacterales; Enterobacteriaceae.